Molecule: ribosomal RNA, 325 nt
Filed under: uncultured Anaerolineaceae bacterium
Lineage: Bacteria; Bacillati; Chloroflexota; Anaerolineae; Anaerolineales; Anaerolineaceae
Description: bacterial SSU rRNA
Rfam family: Bacterial small subunit ribosomal RNA
Source: RNAcentral
CAUGGCUGUCGUCAGCUCGUGUCGUGAGAUGUUCGGUUAGUCCGCUAACGAGCGCAACCCUCGCUGUAUGUUACAUGUGUCAUACAGGACCGCCGGUAUCAAGCCGGAGGAAGGUGGGGAUGACGUCAAGUCCGCAUGGCCUUUAUGUCCGGGGCUACACACACGCUACAAUGGUCGGUACAAUGGGUUGCUAAGCCGCGAGGUGGAGCCAAUCCCCCCAAAGCCGGCCUCAGUUCAGAUUGCAGGCUGCAACUCGCCUGCAUGAAGCUGGAGUUGCUAGUAAACGCGCGUCAGCUAUAGUGCGUUGAAUACGUUCUCGGGCCUU